Molecule: ribosomal RNA, 164 nt
Filed under: uncultured bacterium
Lineage: Bacteria
Description: partial 16S rRNA
Rfam family: Bacterial small subunit ribosomal RNA
Source: RNAcentral
UAGGGAAUCUUCCACAAUGGACGCAAGUCUGAUGGAGCAACGCCGCGUGAGUGAAGAAGGUCUUCGGAUCGUAAAGCUCUGUUGUUAGAGAAGAACACGAGUGAGAGUAACUGUUCAUUCGAUGACGGUAUCUAACCAGCAAGUCACGGCUAACUACGUGUCAG